RNAcentral lists this ribosomal RNA (468 nucleotides) under uncultured bacterium. RNAcentral describes it as "partial 16S ribosomal RNA". It matches the Rfam family "Bacterial small subunit ribosomal RNA", at positions 36 to 507 of the family's 1533-position model. The record is from RNAcentral.
CCCUCCCUCUUUCUUCGUGCUUAACACAUGCAAGUCGAACGGAAAGGCCCUGCUUUUGUGGGGUGCUCGAGUGGCGAACGGGUGAGUAACACGUGAGUAACCUGCCCUUGACUUUGGGAUAACUUCAGGAAACUGGGGCUAAUACCGGAUAGGAGCUCCUGCUGCAUGGUGGGGGUUGGAAAGUUUCGGCGGUUGGGGAUGGACUCGCGGCUUAUCAGCUUGUUGGUGGGGUAGUGGCUUACCAAGGCUUUGACGGGUAGCCGGCCUGAGAGGGUGACCGGCCACAUUGGGACUGAGAUACGGCCCAGACUCCUACGGGAGGCAGCAGUGGGGAAUAUGGCACAAUGGGCGGAAGCCUGAUGCAGCAACGCCGCGUGCGGGAUGACGGCCUUCGGGUUGUAAACCGCUUUCGCCUGUGACGAAGCGUGAGUGACGGUAAUGGGUAAAGAAGCACCGGCUAACUACGUG